UACAGGAACUGUUGAUUGAGGAGACAUGGUUGGAAGCAUUGCCAGGGGAAUUUGAGAAGACCUAUGCAGGGAACUUGUGCAAAUUUGUGGAAAAGGAAAUUAGUGGUGGUGUCCCAAUUUAUCCUCCACUACAUCUGAUUUUUAAUGCUCUUAACACUACUGCAUUUGACAGGAUAAAGGCUGUCAUUAUUGGACAGGAUCCAUAUCAUGGACCAGG
Molecule: unclassified non-coding RNA, 217 nt
Filed under: Hevea brasiliensis (rubber tree)
Lineage: Eukaryota; Viridiplantae; Streptophyta; Magnoliopsida; Malpighiales; Euphorbiaceae
Source: RNAcentral